RNAcentral lists this ribosomal RNA (731 nucleotides) under bacterium IMCC4806. RNAcentral's name for it is "bacterial SSU rRNA". It matches the Rfam family "Bacterial small subunit ribosomal RNA", at positions 33 to 755 of the family's 1533-position model. The record is from RNAcentral.
ACGCUGGCGGCAUGCCUAACACAUGCAAGUCGAACGGAAACGAUGCUAGCUUGCUAGCAGGCGUCGAGUGGCGGACGGGUGAGUAAAGUAUAGGAACUUGCCUAAUAGUGGGGGACAACGUGUGGAAACGCACGCUAAUACCGCAUACGCUCUACGGAGGAAAGCGGGGGAUCUUCGGACCUCGUGCUAUUAGAUAGGCCUAUAUAGGAUUAGCUAGUUGGUAAGGUAAUGGCUUACCAAGGCGACGAUCCUUAGCUGGUUUGAGAGAAUGAUCAGCCACACUGGGACUGAGACACGGCCCAGACUCCUACGGGAGGCAGCAGUGGGGAAUAUUGCACAAUGGGCGCAAGCCUGAUGCAGCAAUGCCGCGUGUGUGAAGAAGGCCUUCGGGUUGUAAAGCACUUUCAGACGUGAGGAAAAGUUAAUAGUUAAUAACUGUUAACCCUGACGUUAACGUCAGAAGAAGCACCGGCUAACUCCGUGCCAGCAGCCGCGGUAAUACGGAGGGUGCAAGCGUUAAUCGGAAUUACUGGGCGUAAAGCGCGCGUAGGCGGUUAUUUAAGUCAGAUGUGAAAUCCCUGGGCUCAACCUAGGAACUGCAUUUGAUACUGGAUAACUAGAGUAUGGUAGAGGUGAGUGGAAUUUCAGGUGUAGCGGUGAAAUGCGUAGAGAUCUGAAGGAACAUCAGUGGCGAAGGCGACUCACUGGGCCAUUACUGACGCUGAGUCGAA